RNAcentral lists this long non-coding RNA (691 nucleotides) under Equus caballus (horse). RNAcentral's name for it is "lncRNA (ENSECAG00000055703.1)". The record is from RNAcentral. Lineage: Eukaryota; Metazoa; Chordata; Mammalia; Perissodactyla; Equidae.
GGUGAGGACGAGAAGUUGGCUAUCUACUACCCUGAAGAGGGCUCUCCCCACAACCCACCCACGCUGGCACCCUGAUCUCAGACUUCCCGCCACCAGAACUGUGAGAAAUAGACUUCUGUUGUUCAUACCCACCCAGUCUGCAGUAGGUUGCUAUCGCAGCCUGAAGGAAGACAUAUAUGGUUACAGUUUCAAUUUGCAUUCCUUGGAUUACUAGAAAACCAUCUUAAAGAAGAUUUUGAUAAUGGACAACUUUUUCUUGUCCCUGAAAAUGUUUCUUCAGUAUGCCUCUGCUGAUGGUUUGUUAAAAAAAUAUUUUGUAUCAUGUUACAGACAUGUCUUUGUAUUGUAUUUCAGUCUUGUUAUACGUCACUUAACUAUUCAGCAAUAUUUGUUGAGUUAUAACAAAUGUCUCUUCAGCAUCUAUGAUGAUUUUAUACUUUUUCUUUUAAUCUAUUGGUGUGAUCAAUAUAUUAAUAAUACUUUUAUUAUAGAAGUGUCUUUGCAAUUCUAGAAUUUAUCUUGGAAUUAUUAUUUUAAUAUAUUGUAUUUGAUUUGGUAAUAGUUUACUUUUUUGUGUGUAUGUUCUUAGGUGAAAUCGACAAGCAGUUUUUCCUCUUUGUGCCUAUUUUAUUGGAUUUUUAUUUUAAGAAUAUGCUUCAUCCAAGAAGUAAUUAAGAUGUUUUUCUUAUAU